RNAcentral lists this ribosomal RNA (443 nucleotides) under uncultured bacterium. RNAcentral describes it as "partial 16S ribosomal RNA". It matches the Rfam family "Bacterial small subunit ribosomal RNA", at positions 338 to 795 of the family's 1533-position model. The record is from RNAcentral.
CCUACGGGUGGCAGCAGUGGGGAAUAUUGGGCAAUGGGCGCAAGCCUGACCCAGCAACGCCGCGUGCAGAAAGAAGGUUUUCGGGUUGUAAACUUCUUUUCUCAGGGACGAAGCGUGUCACGGUACCUGAGGAAUAAGCUACGGCUACCUACGAGCCAGCCGCCGCGGUAAUACGUAGGUGGCAAGCGUUAUCCGGAUUUACUGGGUGCAAGGGGCGUGUAGGCGGGACUGCAAGUCAGCUGUGAAAACCACGGGCGCAACCUGUGGCCUGCAUUUGAAACUGUAGUUCUUGAGUACUGGAGAGGCAGACGGAAUUCCAAGUGUAGCGGUGAAAUGCGUAGAUAUUAGGAGGAACACCAGUGGCGAAGGCGGUCUGCUGGACAGCAACUGACGCUGAGGCGCGAAAGCGUGGGGAGCAAACAGGAUUAGAUACCCGAGUAGUC